RNAcentral lists this ribosomal RNA (253 nucleotides) under uncultured bacterium. Its description in RNAcentral is "partial 16S ribosomal RNA". It matches the Rfam family "Bacterial small subunit ribosomal RNA", at positions 524 to 776 of the family's 1533-position model. The record is from RNAcentral.
UACGUAGGGUGCAAGCGUUAAUCGGAAUUACUGGGCGUAAAGCGUGCGCAGGCGGCUUUGCAAGACAGAUGUGAAAUCCCCGGGCUUAACCUGGGAACUGCAUUUGUGACUGCAUGGCUGGAGUGCGGCAGAGGGGGAUGGAAUUCCGCGUGUAGCAGUGAAAUGCGUAGAUAUGCGGAGGAACACCGAUGGCGAAGGCGGCAUCCUGGACCGACACUGACACUGAGGAGCGAAAGCCAGGGGAGCAAACAGG